Molecule: unclassified non-coding RNA, 253 nt
Filed under: uncultured Flavobacteriaceae bacterium
Lineage: Bacteria; Pseudomonadati; Bacteroidota; Flavobacteriia; Flavobacteriales; Flavobacteriaceae
Description: contains 16S-23S intergenic spacer region
Rfam family: Bacterial small subunit ribosomal RNA
Source: RNAcentral
UACGGAGGAUCCAAGCGUUAUCCGGAAUCAUUGGGCUUAAAGGGUCCGUAGGCGGGACAGUAAGUCAGUGGUGAAAGUCUGUGGCUCAACCAUAGAACUGCCAUUGAUACUGUUGUCCUUGAGUCAUUAUGAAGUGGUUAGAAUACGUAGUGUAGCGGUGAAAUGCAUAGAUAUUACAUAGAAUACCGAUUGCGAAGGCAGAUCACUAAUAAUGUACUGACGCUGAUGGACGAAAGCGUAGGUAGCGAACAGG